This 497-nucleotide ribosomal RNA is filed under the name Sarcocystis sp. RNAcentral's name for it is "SSU rRNA". It matches the Rfam family "Eukaryotic small subunit ribosomal RNA", at positions 487 to 984 of the family's 1831-position model. Lineage: Eukaryota; Apicomplexa; Conoidasida; Eucoccidiorida; Sarcocystidae. The record is from RNAcentral.
UGGAAAUUAUAUUUCUAGUGAUUGGAAUGAUGGGAAUCCAAACCCCUUUCAGAGUAACAAUUGGAGGGCAAGUCUGGUGCCAGCAGCCGCGGUAAUUCCAGCUCCAAUAGCGUAUAUUAAAGUUGUUGCAGUUAAAAAGCUCGUAGUUGGAUAUCUGCUGGAAGCAGCCAGUCCGCCCUUUGUGGGUGUGCACUUGGUGAAUUCUGGCAUCCUCCUGAUUGGUGUCAUCAUCACUUCAUUGUGUUGGUGGCAGCUGUCAGGACCGUUACUUUGAGAAAAUUAGAGUGUUUCAAGCAGGCUUGUUGCCUUGAAUACUGCAGCAUGGAAUAACAAGAUAGGAUUUCGGUUCUAUUUUGUUGGUUUCUAGGACUGAAGUAAUGAUUAAUAGGGACAGUUGGGGGCAUUCGUAUUUAACUGUCAGAGGUGAAAUUCUUAGAUUUGUUAAAGACGAACUACUGCGAAAGCAUUUGCCAAAGAUGUUUUCAUUAAUCAAGAAC